RNAcentral lists this ribosomal RNA (253 nucleotides) under uncultured bacterium. Its description in RNAcentral is "partial 16S ribosomal RNA". It matches the Rfam family "Bacterial small subunit ribosomal RNA", at positions 524 to 776 of the family's 1533-position model. The record is from RNAcentral.
UACGUAGGUGGCAAGCGUUGUCCGGAUUUACUGGGCGUAAAGAGCGCGCAGGCGGUCGUUCAAGUCGCGUGUGAAAGCCCCCGGCUCAACUGGGGAGGGUCACGCGAUACUGAUCGACUCGAAGGCAGGAGAGGGAAGUGGAAUUCCCGGUGUAGUGGUGAAAUGCGCAGAUAUCAGGAAGAACACCAAUGGCGAAGGCAGCUCUCUGGGACGGUACUGACGCUGAGACGCGAAAGCGUGGGGAGCGAACAGG